UUUGCAAGUCUUACAUAAAUGUAGGAUUUAAACAGAGAAAUGUCCCUGUGCAGUAGCUAUUUUGAUAUUCCCAGCUCACCUUCCCAGCCCUGCUGUUUUGAAAUGAGCUCUCAGGGUUGAAUUUAACAUCCUUACUUUCAAGAAACCAAGCACACAAAAGGACAAGGUUUCCUUUCUCGUUUUUACUGCUGUUUCCAGUCCAGCUCUGAAAUGCUAUAUUUAGAACCCUGUGUUUUAAUGCUGUGGCAUGAACUUCUGGGAUUUCCCCUGGCUGAUAUAAAAUAGAAGAUCUGCACUUUGGUAUUAGCAGUCAGCCAGGAAAUCCGUGCCUGGUGCCAGAAAUGGGCCUUCCUUCAUAAAUCUGUAUUUAUUUUCAUUUCCUUGUGCGGCGGUGACGUGCCAGAUCAGCUGUGCUGCUGUCCUGACACGUUCUGUAGUGCCAUGGAACGGGGGAAGCUGGACUGGAAAGCAGAGACAGGAUUUGCCUCUGAUUCACUGAGGGAAGCACAGCUGGGAAAUGCUGGUUUUCAGGGGAUCAGGGAUGGGACUGUGUUCUGAUCCCCAUAAAGAACUGGCAAAAGGCACUUCCACAGGGAGCUUCACACGUUAGCAAAGUGAUCAGUCCUGUCCCAUUGCCCUUAACAGACUUAUCUUUUAUUGAUUAUAGAUUUAUUACAAAGCAGGAAAGCUGUGAUCAAGUGGGCUGAAAUCAAUGGAACAAUCCCUGGCAGUGCCCAAGGUGGGGUUGGAUGGGGUUUGGAGCACCCUGGGAUAGUGGAAGGUGUCCCUGCCCAUGGCAGGGUGGAAUGAGAUGAACUUUAAUCCCAAACCAUUCCAUGAUUCUAUAAUGCAGAGACCUGCAUGCUCUUUCAGCUGUCUGAGCAAACCUCUGUUUCAGUGUAAAAUGAGGAUUAUUCUGCCAGUUCAUCAUUUCACCGCCCCUGGAGGCGUCCAAGGAAGGGCACUUGGUGCUCUGGGCUUGGAUUUGGUCUUGGAGGGCUUUUCCAACCCCAGUGGUUCUGUGAUUCUAUGAUUCAGUCCACUUUCUGUGUAGUCUGUGAAGGAAAAAGGCUCUGUGUAAAUAACCUGUAAUUACACUUCUUUUGGGAUCCAAGUUAAUUCCCAAAACUCCUGUUUCCUGUUGCUGCUCUGGCUGGUCCCUUCCCCUCGGCUGGGAAGGUUUUACAGGGUAAGGGUUACGUGAAGCACUUUCUGAAGUUCUAUUUUUGAGAGUCCUGAAAGGUGACACCUGUGUGGAAGUCAUUGCCAUCCUUAAAAUAACCGGUGUGGCAGCUCUGGGCACUGUGACAUUGGUGGUGAGCAGGGACACACAUGGCACGGGGGGUGGCACUGGCUCUUAGCGGGGUUUUACAGCACCAGGGACCGUGGAGUUUAAUCCUGACAGGGCCUCAAGGUGUGACAGCUCGAUAAAUAUUGAAUGUGCCCUUAAUCUCAGGGUGGGGAGUGCUGUACCCCCAGCAGGAAGUGCUGAUCCUCCCUUUGUGAGCGCAAGAUCCUACAGUGAGUAUCUCCCACCGUAUCGGCCCAGAUAUGGCAAGUGUACUCAGAGGGAUAUUGUGCAAAGAGCAAACAGCAGCAGGGAGGGCUUUUGUUCCCCAGGCACCGAGCCCAGGUCAGCAGGUGACAGACACACUGCAGAACUCCCAAAAUUGCAGGCUUGGAAUCUGAUCUGAUCUGGAAAGGGAGGUUCUCUCCCCAGAAAGGAGAGCUUAGUGCGGUGCCCUCCUGCAGAGGAAUGGGAGAAGGGAGAGCGCAGGGACAGUGGGAGAUGUUGGGAGCUGAUCCCAGCGCUGGGCACCCCAAAUCCUGCCGGGGGCCGUGGCUCUCACCCCACACAGCCCUUCCUCUCAUCCCUGGAAGAAAGGCCAGCAGGUAAAGAUCCCAUCCUGCUGACUGGUCUGUGCCCUCUGCCCCUCCGUGCCUGUUCCUGACUGCCGGAGCUGCCUCUGUGCUCUGCAUUCCCUCCUCACUCCAGCCCUGGAUCCGUGACGCUUUUCCUGGCACCCUUCCCAAGCUCUCUUGCUGCCAAGUCAGACUCAGUACAAGCAUCUUGUAUUCCCUUUCAAAUCCUUUCCUAUCGUGGCAAAUAAACCCACUGUCCUCCACACACACCCUCCUGAUAUUAUCCUUGACAGCUCUUCACUUCUGGCACUCAGCUGCUGCUUAAUCAUAUGGUUUCUUUCUCUGAGUCACCUCAUGUGCUCUUGCAGCCAAGAACUCGACUUUGAUUUGGCAAUGUCACGGCAGGAGCACAUCCCUCGGGAUCCCAUUGCUGCCCCGCAUGUCCCAGUGCCAGCAGCACGCUCUGUGCUGUGCUCCGGGCUGGCAUCGGUGCCUCUGGAGAGCGGGACCAUUCCCUCCCCUCUGUCCUCCCGCACACACCACCAGCACCCUGCGCCACCCCGCUUUUCCUCAUUUUAUCAUUUCCCUGCUGCUUUGCGGAGUUUCUGUUCUUAGCACAGAGCGACCUGCCUGACCUUGGCUCCCAGGUAGCCCUGGCGCUCAGAUCCCUUCUCCAAACAUCCUCCCGCUGAGGCCCCUCUCCCCCCACGCUCUCGUCCUUGUGACAUUUGCAAAGAGGGGGCAAGCGGAGCAAACCAAACAAAUCCAGCAAAUACCGCUGGAAAAGGGGAACCAGCGCGAUGUGCAGGGAGCACCGGGAAUAACCUCGCUGCCUCCCGAGCCCUGUCCUUCCCCUGACCCCUCCUGCUGCACGUCUGCUCCGCGCUGCGGGCCGGCACGGGACCCCCCGCUCCUCCCCAAAUCCCCCGUGUACCCACGGAGCGAUAACCGAGCUCUGCUCCUCCCUAGGAAAACAACCGGAGCUUCCCACAGGAGCUGUUUGCAGACAACGCUGCAAAACCGCUUCCCCGCGCCGCUCUUUGUACUGAGCAAAUACAAGGGCUGCCUAAAGCCAGCGGGCUGGGAUAAAAGUUGGAUUUCUCAUUGUCCGGAGAACGCUGCAGGUGUGGACACACCUAUUCACCCUCCCAGCCCCUCGGCCUGUCCCGCUUUGUGCGAACAGGGUGUUGGUGUUUAUGGCCUUUUUCCCCAGCUGCCCACUGGCACGGACUUUGCUCCUCCGGGCUGGGAUUUCUAAGCAGCGGGAGGCUUUCCACGUGUGUUUGAGAAGGUACAAAGCCUGCCGGAAAACAAUGGAAAUAGCUGCCUUAUGA
Cyanistes caeruleus (blue tit) is the source of this 3197-nucleotide long non-coding RNA. RefSeq lists it as uncharacterized. NCBI's taxonomy places the organism in Eukaryota, Metazoa, Chordata, Aves, Passeriformes, Paridae. The record is from RefSeq and is a predicted model, not a curated record.